GGAGUCAGUCGUGUGAAUUGAUCGUUGCACAUGUAGCCGACCCAGCGGUGAUCGGGGGUAACCCCGGCGUCGAAGCCUGGGAAGGCGAACGCGCGAGCCGUAGCGAAAGCGAACUUGAUUCAGCCUCGUUACACAAGUCGAGGGCGGCCAGCCUAUCGGAUAUGAUGAAGCCAGCACUUGUCGGGAAGGAACGGUCAUAUGCACCGGCAAGGCCCUCCGGGGUAACAAGAGAC
This is a non-coding RNA of Kiritimatiella glycovorans, 233 nucleotides long. The record is from Rfam. NCBI's taxonomy places the organism in Bacteria, Pseudomonadati, Kiritimatiellota, Kiritimatiellia, Kiritimatiellales, Kiritimatiellaceae.